AUGCAAGUCGAACGAAGUAGCAAUACUUAGUGGCAGACGGGUGAGUAACAUGUAGGUAUCUUCCCUUUGGCCUGGAAUAACACGAGGAAACUUGUGCUAAUACCGGAUAAGUCUUCACAGAGAAAGCUUUAUGCACCGAUGGAUGAGCCUGCACUUGAUUAGUUUGUUGGUAGGGUAAUGGCCUACCAAGACUGUGAUCAAUAGCUGAUUUGAGAGGAUGAUCAGCCACAUUGGGACUGAGACACGGCCCAAACUCCUACGGGAGGCAGCAGUGGGGAAUCUUGCACAAUGGAGGAAACUCUGAUGCAGCGAUGCCGCGUGAGUGAAGAAGGCCUUUGGGUUGUAAAGCUCUUUCGUCGGGGAAGGAAAUGACUGUACCCGAAUAAGAAGGUCCGGCUAACUUCGUGCCAGCAGCCGCGGUAAUACGAAGGGACCUAGCGUAGUUCGGAAUUACUGGGCUUAAAGAGUUCGUAGGUGGUUGAAAAAGUUGGUGGUGAAAUCCCAGAGCUUAACUCUGGAACUGCCAUCAAAACUUUUCAGCUAGAGUUUGAUAGAGGAAAGCAGAAUUUCUAGUGUAGAGGUGAAAUUCGUAGAUAUUAGAAAGAAUACCAAUUGCGAAGGCAGCUUUCUGGAUCAUUACUGACACUGAGGAACGAAAGCAUGGGUAGCGAAGAGGAUUAGAUACCCUCGUAGUCCAUGCCGUAAACGAUGUGUGUUAGACGUUGGAAAUUUAUUUUCAGUGUCGCAGCGAAAGCGAUAAACACACCCGCCUGGGGAGUACGACCGCAAGGUUAAAACUCAAAUGAAUUGACGGGGACCCGCACAAGUAGUGGAGCAUGUGGUUUAAUUCGAAGAUACGCGCAGAACCUUUACCAACACUUGACAUGUUCGUCCGCGACUUUUAAGAGAUUAAAGUUUU
Molecule: ribosomal RNA, 919 nt
Filed under: uncultured marine bacterium
Lineage: Bacteria
Description: bacterial SSU rRNA
Rfam family: Bacterial small subunit ribosomal RNA
Source: RNAcentral